GGAGAAUCCAAGAAUAACUUUGGUAAGAGAUUUUUGGAAAAGAAAAUAAACCUACAGUUAAAAGAAAAAAGAAAACAAUGAAAAUAGAAGCUGAGCUUAGCUGAGGAUAUGAAUAACGAAAAGCAACCACCUUACCGCAAAACAACUCUAAGAAGUAGGAUUAUCAUCACUCAAUUUACAGGCAUCCAUGUCCUCCAGGAUAUAAAGGAAGAAGUUGAGGGAUGGAUGCAGAGUAUACUAUUCUCCACCAUUACAAAUUGGGCACCUUUGCUUUUGAAUGAGUGACCACAGCCCUGGAAACUUGUAUGCUUUGCUAAUUGAGGGCAGAUGAGCCUCAGGUCAAUCCCCCAUCAAUUAUCCACUCAACAACAAUAAAAUGCUAACUUGUAUGCCCUAACCCAGUUUGUUUAAUUAUUUGGAAGUGAUUUUGUAUCUAAACAACCCACACACUGGACAUAAGCAAUCCUGGAUAAAAUAGAAGUUUAUUAAACUCAUCUUCAUAUUUACAUAAAUUAUUUUUUAAAAAGACACCAUCUAGGCCAAGACCAGUUUUAUUUUUCCCUUCAAAGAAUAAUGUUGAGGAUCAAUUUCUCCAGCUUAACAUCACCAGCCUUGGCAGCAGCUCAUAUUUGGAAUAUAAAUGAUGUCAUCUGGUUGGCCUUUUCCCAUCACAAACAGUAAAUCUCUAAAUCUGGAGAGAUCUUUUAUUUGGUUACACAUAUUGUACAGCAUCAAGGGGUUAGAACACAUGUGCUAGAGAUUAUUAAAAUCAUCUGGAGGAGAAUGGCUUAUUAUUGGAAAGCCCAGAACUUAUGACCCUUUCAUGCCUGGUGUCUCCAUCAACUCUUCUUUCGCUCCUACCUUUUCAAAGAAAUAAUUGUGGCCGAUUGGCCCAUGAUUAUUUGCAUACUAAGGUUUUUCUGGUGCACCAUGCCUCUUCUCUGGAAAAAGAUAUCCCUAGCAGAGUAUAGAGAAAGGGGAACAGGAUUAGGAAUCAGAAAGCCAGUCACAGCAACAUGCCAAAAUAUGACUUUGGGUAACACAUUUGAACUCUACUAAUUUCACUCUCUCAUCUAUAAAAUGAAAAUAAUAAUAACCAGCCUCACAGGAAUUUUUUAGAUAGAUAGUUUUUUAAAAAGUCAUUGAAUAUCUGUUUAUCACUGUAUAAUUUGCUAAAAUCUUUCAAUUACAUUAGCAUUAGUCUUACCUAGCACAAGAAAGACACUCAACAGAUAUUUGUUGAAUAGCAUGUAAAUUGGUGAUAUUAUAGUUUGAUGGAUUCUGAGUCGUUAAGGUAUCUAUCACACCUCUGAACUUAGUUUUCUUUAUUUAUAAUGUGUAUUCAACUGUAUCUCUUUUUAGGGUUGUUGUAAGAGAUAAAGAAAAUAACAUACAUGAAGUAUCAGUUUCGGGCACUUUGGUGUGUACUUGAGAAAGAGGUUUCCUUUUCUCUGAUCGCUUCUUCUUUCAGAGCUUCAUUCUUCUCAUUCAACAGAAUUGGUCAUAAUUAUAACAUUCUACUUGUUGAGGAGAUAGCUGUGGGGCAAAGAGAACAGGGGGGCCAAGCUUUGGUCCUAAUUUUCCAUCUUCCCAGUUGUGUGAACUUUGACAAUUUGGGGGAGUCUGUUUCCCCAUUUGAAAAAUAAGGAGCUUGUCUAGAUCUGAAGUUCCCAAAUUUUUGAAGUUUAUAGAGCAAACAAACAAAUAAACAAACAACAACAACAACAACAACAAAAGACCAGUACCAACCAGGAGCCUAACAUAACAUGGUCAAUUUUUUGAUCUGAGAAAUAGAUUUUUGAAAAAUAACUGUCACUUACCAUUACAAUCAUUUCAAAUUAAAGGACAAGGAACUCCAAAAAAGAAAAAAAAGAAAAAUUAUGAAAUAUAAGACAUGACUCUAAAAUGAUUACAUUAACCUCAUGGGGAAAGAUGCUGAAUCGUCUUAUUGUCCUUAUUUUUUUCUCAUUUUUCCACAGACCUGUGAAAACUUGUUGUGGACCAACAUGGGUCUUCAGAGUAGUACUUGGGAACCUGUACUGUUCUGUAUUGUGGACCAACAUGGGUCUUCAGAGUAGCACUUGGGAACCACUGGGAUGCAUGACAUGGAAGGGCUCUUCUAGCACUAUGUCCUGUGAUUCUAUCAUAAUUCCACCAUGGUGAAAAGCUGGGAUACUUAAACAACAGUUUGUUUAGGUGAAAUCAGUAAAACAAUGAUCUGAUUCAGCUAAGAAGCUGAUCCCUGAAGUCAUUUUGCUGAACUGAAUGACUCUAGAUCUUGAUAGGAAGUAUAAUUUAGUCAAAACAAUCUAAAUUGUUAUGUGUGGAUUGACACAUAUGAGUUGUUCCCGCAGGUCUUCAAAAUACUUCCUUGCCCCUAAUGAGGCUGACUCAGGCUUUGUUCCCCACCAACUAUAAAUUGAUAAGUAUCACACUUGUACCUACCUACAUCAAAAUGAGAGAGAUAUGUGAGUGAGCCAAACAUAUCCAAAGCAUUCCUAAUUCAGGCACUAUGUGCUCACCCUGAGGUUAGCUUCUCUGACACCUUCCACUCUCUAAUCUUGAGCCAAAAUAUGUCUCUACACUCUACUGUGGUGAUCUCAAAGUCCCUGUAUGAAUGCCUCAUAUUUUAUCACCAAAAUUCUAAAUAGAGACUCUCUGUUUCAUGGUUAGCACUCAUUUCUACCAAGCUUGAUCAUCUGAGGUGGACCAAAUUAGAAAUAGGCAAGCAAAAUAGAGGUAGGAGAAGCUAUUAAUACAGGUCAGGAAGAGAUUAGUUUUGGCUGGGUGCUGUGGCUCACAGCUGUAAUCCUAGCAUUUUGGGAAGCUGAGGUGGGCGGAUCACUUGAGGUCAGGAGUUUGAGACCAGCCUGGCCAACAUGGUGAAUUUCCAUCUCAACUAAAAAUAGAAAAAUCAGCUGGGCAUAGUGGAAGGCACCUGUAAUCUCAGCUACUUGGCAGGCUGAGGCAGGAGAAUCACUUGAACCCAGGAGGCAGAAGUUGCAGUGAGCUGAGAUUGCACCACUGCACUCCAUCCUGGGCAACAGAGUGAGACUCCAUCUCAAAAAUAAAUAAAUAAACAAAUAUAGACAGGUCAGGAGUUGUGGGUUGUGGCUUUGCUUGACUUCACAGAAGAAAGAGAGAAAAAUCAAACAGAACUAACUGUAAGCUACUGAGGACAAUAAUAGAUGUUCAUAUCUUUGGUUCUAAGUCAUCAAGAAAAGUUUAAACUAUGUACAAGAACCUUCUCAAGGAAGCAGAUAAUUCAUUGAGAUAGAUGCUUGGGGGUGAGGGCAAACCUCAGCUAUCAGGAAAUUCAUCUCAAGUUAGCAAACGUGAAUUCUCCUGUGAUCCUAGGGUAAUGAAGUAGUAACAGCAAUAGAAACAACCAUAAUAAUGGCUGGCUACUGCAUUGUACUCUGCCUCUUAGGAGUACUUCCAUUUUCUCAUUUAAUAUUCAGAUCAACCCCAUGAGGAACAAAUAAUAAUUUUUAUUAUCCACUCAUUUCUCCAAGUGAGGAAAUCAAAGCUCAGCUUGGUUAAGUAGCUUGCCAAGACAGCAGAGCUAGUCAGUGGCAGAGUAAGAAUGCAAACCCUAGUCUUCUAACUUGAAGCCCAGUGCAUUUCCCACCCUCUGAUCUUCUCUCAUCCUUAUAAAUAGCCAUAAGACUAAGUAGUUCAAAAAUAUCUUCUUUCUGGUUCUCAGGCCCAUUACAAAUGCCACUUGCCCUGGGUAGGAAAAUAAAGCCCAAGCUCUUUGCUGGACUAUGUGCUAAGUCCUUGGCGCCCAGAAAUAACCUCCUGGAGACUAUGGGCCUUAUAUUUACCGCAAAGCAGUGGGUAAAUAACUAGUUGGUGUUUUAGUGUUUUGUGGUCACUUAAUCUGUUGUGUUGCUUCCCAAGACUCUGAAGGUUUCCUUUUUCAGUUAAUUCUUAUUUACGUUUCUGAGGUCUGUGUUGUUUUGGGUUUGGUUCAUUGGAUGUUUUUCUUGGAAUGUGUUGCCAUUGGCUUCAGGAUGUUCCUGCUCUGCUAUUUCAUGGAAUUUUCCCCGAGUGUGGAUUGCUAUGUAUUUCUUCGGGGCAGUGAGCCAAGGCAGUGCUGGUAUGUAAUCUGUUCCUCUGGCCAGAAGACUUCUUGUCACCCAUCCACAUGGUGCUUGGUUGUAUUUCUCCACUGAUAAUUCCCCUCCAUCUGUUAAUGUGCAG
This 4206-nucleotide long non-coding RNA is filed under the name Homo sapiens (human). RNAcentral describes it as "HSALNT0007227". Lineage: Eukaryota; Metazoa; Chordata; Mammalia; Primates; Hominidae. The record is from RNAcentral.